This 215-nucleotide long non-coding RNA is filed under the name Citrus sinensis (sweet orange). RNAcentral describes it as "long non-coding RNA (CSIN_LNC002166)". Lineage: Eukaryota; Viridiplantae; Streptophyta; Magnoliopsida; Sapindales; Rutaceae. The record is from RNAcentral.
AUCGCACUAAUUUGUUCGUUGAGCUCUAAACUAUAUUCUUGAUGUCGCCGUUGUCCGUUGAGUGUCUUCAAUCUUGAUUUCACUUGAUUCACUUGCAUAAAUAUUAUCCUUCAAAAACUAGUGAAAAUGUGAAAUACAAUAUUUAUUAUUUUUACUUAAGACACAUGUUUGUUAUCAUCAAAAUUACAUUAUGUGUAGCCCUUUAGGCUAACAAU